UGGAUAACUGUGGUAAUUCUAGAGCUAAUACAUGCAAACAGAGCUCCGACCGGAGACGGAAGGAGUGCUUUUAUUAGAUCAAAACCAAUCGGUGGCGGGUUCGCCCGUUAUCGUACAACUUGGUGACUCUGAAUAACUUUACGCUGAUCGCACGGUCAUCGCACCGGCGACGCGUCUUUCAAAUGUCUGCCUUAUCAACUGUCGAUGGUAGGUUCUGCGCCUACCAUGGUUGUAACGGGUAACGGGGAAUCAGGGUUCGAUUCCGGAGAGGGAGCCUGAGAAACGGCUACCACAUCCAAGGAAGGCAGCAGGCGCGCAAAUUACCCACUCCCGGCACGGGGAGGUAGUGACGAAAAAUAACGAUACGGGACUCAUCCGAGGCCCCGUAAUCGGAAUGAGUACACUCUAAACCCUUUAACGAGGAUCAAUUGGAGGGCAAGUCUGGUGCC
Molecule: ribosomal RNA, 449 nt
Filed under: Trigonopterus sp. 623A MB-2015
Lineage: Eukaryota; Metazoa; Arthropoda; Insecta; Coleoptera; Curculionidae
Description: SSU rRNA
Rfam family: Eukaryotic small subunit ribosomal RNA
Source: RNAcentral